UCCGGUGCGCCCCCGGCGGCCC
Molecule: small nuclear RNA, 22 nt
Filed under: Arabidopsis thaliana (thale cress)
Lineage: Eukaryota; Viridiplantae; Streptophyta; Magnoliopsida; Brassicales; Brassicaceae
Description: snRNA_16796
Source: RNAcentral